AGCGAUGAAACUUUAACAGAACCCUUCGGGGCGAAGAUAAAGUGGAUUAGCGGCGGACGGGUGAGUAACACGUGAGUAACCUGCCUUAGACAUUGGGAUAGCCUCGGGAAACCGGGAUUAAUACCAAAUAAAAUCAUAAUGACACAUGUCAUAACGAUCAAAACUCCGGUGGUCUAAGAUGGACUCGCGUCCCAUUAGCUAGUUGGUAGAGUAAAAGCCUACCUAGGCGACGAUGGGUAGCCGGCCUGAGAGGGUGAACGGCCACAUUGGAACUGAGAAACGGUCCAAACUCCUACGGGAGGCAGCAGUGGGGAAUAUUGCACAAUGGAGGGAACUCUGAUGCAGCGACGCCGCGUGAACGAAGAAGGCUUUCGAGUCGUAAAGUUCUUUUAUAUGGGAAGAUAAUGACGGUACCAUAAGAAAAAGCCCCGGCUAACUACGUGCCAGCAGCCGCGGUAAUACGUAGGGGGCUAGCGUUGUCCGGAAUCACUGGGCGUAAAGGGUUCGCAGGCGGAAAUGCAAGUCAGAUGUAAAAGGCAGUAGCUUAACUACUGUAAGCAUUUGAAACUGCAUAUCUUGAGAAGAGUAGAGGUAAGUGGAAUUUUUAGUGUAGCGGUGAAAUGCGUAGAUAUUAAAAAGAAUACCGGUGGCGAAGGCGACUUACUGGG
This 668-nucleotide ribosomal RNA is filed under the name uncultured Eubacteriales bacterium. RNAcentral's name for it is "bacterial SSU rRNA". It matches the Rfam family "Bacterial small subunit ribosomal RNA", at positions 52 to 733 of the family's 1533-position model. Lineage: Bacteria; Bacillati; Bacillota; Clostridia; Eubacteriales. The record is from RNAcentral.